Molecule: transfer RNA, 63 nt
Filed under: Dipodomys ordii (Ord's kangaroo rat)
Lineage: Eukaryota; Metazoa; Chordata; Mammalia; Rodentia; Heteromyidae
Rfam family: tRNA
About the family: Transfer RNA (tRNA) molecules are approximately 80 nucleotides in length. Their secondary structure includes four short double-helical elements and three loops (D, anti-codon, and T loops). Further hydrogen bonds mediate the characteristic L-shaped molecular structure. tRNAs have two regions of fundamental functional importance: the anti-codon, which is responsible for specific mRNA codon recognition, and the 3' end, to which the tRNAs corresponding amino acid is attached (by aminoacyl-tRNA synthetases). tRNAs cope with the degeneracy of the genetic code in two manners: having more than one tRNA (with a specific anti-codon) for a particular amino acid; and 'wobble' base-pairing, i.e. permitting non-standard base-pairing at the 3rd anti-codon position.
Source: Rfam by way of RNAcentral
GGGAAGGUGGCUCAGUGGUAGAGCACUUGCCUUGCAUGCAUGAGGCCCUUGGGUUCAUUUCCU